CCUUGUCCCAGCAGCCGCGGUAAUACGUAGGGUGCGNGNNUUAAUCGGAAUUACUGGGCGUAAAGCGUGCGCAGGCGGAUUGUUAAGCAAGACGUGAAAUCCCCGGGCUUAACCUGGGAAUGGCGUUUUGAACUGGCAGUCUAGAGUGCGUCAGAGGGGGGUGGAAUUCCACGUGUAGCAGUGAAAUGCGUAGAGAUGUGGAGGAACACCGAUGGCGAAGGCAGCCCCCUGGGAUGACACUGACGCUCAUGUACGAAAGCGUGGGUAGCAAACAGGAUUAGAUACCCUGGUAGUCCACGCCCUAAACGAUGUCAACUGGUUGUUGGGGGAGUGAAAUCCCUUAGUAACGAAGCUAACGCGUGAAGUUGACCGCCUGGGGAGUACGGUCGCAAGAUUAAAACUCAAAGGAAUUGACGGGGACCCGCACAAGCGGUGGAUGAUGUGGAUUAAUUCGAUGCAACGCGAAAAACCUUACCUACCCUUGACAUGUCCGGAAUCCUGCAGAGAUGCGGGAGUGCCCGAAAGGGAAUCGGAACACAGGUGCUGCAUGGCUGUCGUCAGCUCGUGUCGUGAGAUGUUGGGUUAAGUCCCGCAACGAGCGCAACCCUUAUCAUUAGUUGCUACGCAAGGGCACUCUAAUGAGACUGCC
This 649-nucleotide ribosomal RNA is filed under the name uncultured bacterium. RNAcentral describes it as "bacterial SSU rRNA". It matches the Rfam family "Bacterial small subunit ribosomal RNA", at positions 501 to 1153 of the family's 1533-position model. The record is from RNAcentral.